RNAcentral lists this ribosomal RNA (428 nucleotides) under uncultured delta proteobacterium. RNAcentral describes it as "bacterial SSU rRNA". It matches the Rfam family "Bacterial small subunit ribosomal RNA", at positions 9 to 419 of the family's 1533-position model. The record is from RNAcentral. Lineage: Bacteria; Deltaproteobacteria.
GAGUUUGAUCGUGGCUCAGAACGAACGCUGGCGGCGUGCCUAACACAUGCAAGUCGAGCGGGAAAGUUCCCUUCGGGGAGCGAGUACAGCGGCGAACGGGUGAGUAACACGUAGGUAACCUACCCUGGAGACUGGGAUAACCUGCCGAAAGGCGGGCUAAUACUAGAUAAGACCACGAGGGCUGCGGCUCUUGCGGGAAAAGGUGGCCUCUACUUGUAAGCUACCACUUCAGGAUGGGCCUGCGCGCCAUUAGCUAGUUGGUGAGGUAACGGCUCACCAAGGCCGAGAUGGCUAGCUGGUCUGAGAGGAUGGCCAGCCACACUGGGACUGAGACACGGCCCAGACUCCUACGGGAGGCAGCAGUGGGGAAUCUUGCGCAAUGGGCGAAAGCCUGACGCAGCGACGCCGCGUGGGUGAUGAAGGCCUUC